CUGUGAUGCUGUCCCAUGGUCACAUUGUGACUGGAUGGCAUCCUGACAUGGUGGCAGAGUGAACUUUGAUUCUGUGACACAGUGGGUCUGUGACUCUACUGGGUCAGCUACAAGGUCCCAGGGAGGCUAUGGGCCAGAGCAGCUGGAACUCUGCUGGCUAGGCUUGCCCUUUGCCUCCUUCUAUUUCCUGGCCAUGUCAAACCUGCCCUAUCUCUGUUUCAGCCAUUCUAGUACCAUGGUACCAGCUUGAGGGGCAGUGAUGGCUCCUGGGCCUUGGUGGGAGGAGGCUGCUCUCUGACAAAUUGUCCAGGAGGCCAACCUGUGUCUCACUGCUGCUGGUCCCUUGUCACAGCAUCCUUACAGCCAUUCUGAGCUCUGCUGUCUGACUUGGGGGAGAUCCUGCCUAGGGUGAUUUGGGCUUGGCAGGGAGCGCAUGGUGGAAGAAUGUAGGAAGGCAGAAGAGUUUCUGUGUAGCUGUCUGGUAUGACCUUGGUGCCCUGGGUGAGGGCCUCCAGCUCCCUGCAGGAUGGGAAACUUGGCUUUGGAAUCCAGGAUUUUAGAACAGAAAACAUUUUGGCUACUGCAACAUCUUUGAUCCAAGACAGUGGUGUACAUGAGAGCACCUGUAACACCGUGAUGGCAUCUGAUGGAAGACUGAGAGGGCCUUGGAGGCAGGAAGGACCAGUGCAACUGUCCUUCUCUGCAGCAGCCUGUCUGGAACCUGGCUUUAUGUGAGCUCUGUGAUGGCUCUGGGCUCAAAACAAUCCCUGGUUUAAGUGCAGCAGAAUGGAGAGAAAGCCUCUGCGUGCCAGCUCCUCAAACAGUGAAACAGCUGUCAUAAAAUUCAACAUCCCACAACUAGGUAUGUACCUAAGAGAAUUGAGAACAUAGGUCCACAUAAAAACAUGUGCAUGAAUGUUCAUAGCAGUAUAAUGCAGAAUAGUCAAAAAGUAGAAGCA
This 959-nucleotide long non-coding RNA is filed under the name Fukomys damarensis (Damara mole-rat). Its description in RNAcentral is "lncRNA (ENSFDAG00000033353.1)". The record is from RNAcentral. Lineage: Eukaryota; Metazoa; Chordata; Mammalia; Rodentia; Bathyergidae.